Molecule: transfer RNA, 65 nt
Filed under: Isoteinon lamprospilus
Lineage: Eukaryota; Metazoa; Arthropoda; Insecta; Lepidoptera; Hesperiidae
Description: tRNA-Ile
Source: RNAcentral
AAUAAAGUGCCUGAUUAAAGGAAUAUUCUGAUAGGAUAUAUAAUGUAAAUAAUUUACCUUUAUUA